RNAcentral lists this unclassified non-coding RNA (655 nucleotides) under Hevea brasiliensis (rubber tree). The record is from RNAcentral. Lineage: Eukaryota; Viridiplantae; Streptophyta; Magnoliopsida; Malpighiales; Euphorbiaceae.
AUAAUUUUGCACUUCCUUCAAUGAGAGUAUGAGACGAGUUUUUUUUUUCUUUUUUCUUUAAGCGAAGGGGUGAUGCAUUGUUUUGAGUGUGCCUUACGCUUUUUAACUACCCUAUUUAUAGAACAAAGGCAUCCAAGCCCCAAAUGAAGGUUUAUGGGACCAUGACAUCCUUAUAUGAGUAUCCCUUAUAGAUUAUAAAUUUUUCUUAGAGAAGGAAAAAUCAAGAACUAAAUUUAAGGCCUUGAAGCGAUCUUAGACUUUAUUUUGAUUGUACGUGAACCUAAUGUUCUUUUAUUGGUCAUCAGCUACACAUGUAAAAGACAAGACGAUUGCCGACUCUUAUGAGCAUAGAAUGUCUAACUCACAUAUGUGAUAAAGCUGAAAUGCAUAAUGCAUCUGCAAUGAGAGUUAAAAAAAAAUGAUUUAACAAUUCAAAUGAUGAAAUAAAAUCAAUAUAAAUCAUACAUUAGAACUAAAAAUGCAACUUUUUUUUAGGUAAAAGACACUCCUUGGUAAAGGCAGAAUUUUGAUCUCAAGUUUCUAAUAUAGUUCCAAGUAAUCAAUUUGGUUAAUACAGCAGACAUGUUUGGCUAGUAAUAUAUGAAUACUAUCAAUUUUAAUUCCAUCUUUACCUCUGUUGCAAGAAGAGAGUUCA